GUGCAGCAGCCGCGGUAAUACGGAGGGUGCAAGCGUUAAUCGGAUUCAUUGGGCGUAAAGGGCGCGUAGGCGGAAAUUUAAGUCAGACGUGAAAGACCAAAGCUCAACUUUGGAAACGCGUUUGAAACUGGAUUUCUCGAGGAUAGGCGGAGGAAGCGGAAUUCCACAUGUAGCGGUGAAAUGCGUAGAUAUGUGGAAGAACACCGGUGGCGAAGGCGGCUUUCUAGCUUAUUUCUGACGCUGAGGCACGAGAGCGUGGGGAGCAAACAGGAUUAGAUA
Molecule: ribosomal RNA, 279 nt
Filed under: uncultured bacterium
Lineage: Bacteria
Description: partial 16S ribosomal RNA
Rfam family: Bacterial small subunit ribosomal RNA
Source: RNAcentral